RNAcentral lists this transfer RNA (73 nucleotides) under Myotis davidii. It matches the Rfam family "tRNA". From Rfam's summary of the family: Transfer RNA (tRNA) molecules are approximately 80 nucleotides in length. Their secondary structure includes four short double-helical elements and three loops (D, anti-codon, and T loops). The record is from Rfam by way of RNAcentral. Lineage: Eukaryota; Metazoa; Chordata; Mammalia; Chiroptera; Vespertilionidae.
GCCAGUGUUGCUCGGUGGAUAGAGCGUCGGCCUGUGGGCCCGAGGGUCGCGGGUUUGAUUCCGGUCAAGGGCA